RNAcentral lists this ribosomal RNA (434 nucleotides) under uncultured archaeon. RNAcentral's name for it is "bacterial SSU rRNA". It matches the Rfam family "Archaeal small subunit ribosomal RNA", at positions 19 to 458 of the family's 1478-position model. The record is from RNAcentral.
GGACCUGACUGCUAUCGGAUUGAUACUAAGCCAUGCGAGUCAUUGUAGCAAUACAAGGCAGACGGCUCAGUAACGCGUAGUCAACCUAACCUAUGGACGGGAAUAACCUCGGGAAACUGAGAAUAAUGCCCGAUAGAACACUAUACCUGGAAUGGUUUGUGUUCCAAAUGAUUUAUCGCCGUAGGAUGGGACUGCGGCCUAUCAGUUUGUUGGUGAGGUAAUGGCCCACCAAGACUAUUACAGGUACGGGCUCUGAGAGGAGUAGCCCGGAGAUGGGUACUGAGACACGGACCCAGGCCCUAUGGGGCGCAGCAGGCGAGAAAACUUUGCAAUGUGCGAAAGCACGACAAGGUUAAUCCGAGUGGUUUCUGCUAAAGGAACCUUUUGUCGGUCCUAGAAACACCGAUGAAUAAGGGGUGGGCAAGUUCUGGUGU